AGAGGCCCUCCGUGGCCGGGGUGGAACGCUUACCUCGUCACUGUGGCGACAAAGCAAGCAUUCCACCAGGUCACUCACACUGCUCUC
Non-coding RNA from Myotis brandtii (Brandt's bat), 87 nucleotides. Lineage: Eukaryota; Metazoa; Chordata; Mammalia; Chiroptera; Vespertilionidae. The record is from Rfam.